RNAcentral lists this ribosomal RNA (468 nucleotides) under uncultured bacterium. RNAcentral's name for it is "partial 16S ribosomal RNA". It matches the Rfam family "Bacterial small subunit ribosomal RNA", at positions 28 to 507 of the family's 1533-position model. The record is from RNAcentral.
GACGAACGCUGGCGGCGUGCUUAACACGUGCAAGUCGAACGGAAAGGCCCUGCUUUUGUGGGGUGCUCGAGUGGCGAACGGGUGAGUAACACGUGAGUAACCUGCCCUUGACUUUGGGAUAACUUCAGGAAACUGGGGCUAAUACCGGAUAGGAGCUCCUGCUGCAUGGUGGGGGUUGGAAAGUUUCGGCGGUUGGGGGUGGACUCGCGGCUUAUCAGCUUGUUGGUGGGGUAGUGGCUUACCAAGGCUUUGACGGGUAGCCGGCCUGAGAGGGUGACCGGCCACAUUGGGACUGAGAUACGGCCCAGACUCCUACGGGAGGCAGCAGUGGGGAAUAUUGCACAAUGGGCGGAAGCCUGAUGCAGCAACGCCGCGUGCGGGAUGACGGCCUUCGGGUUGUAAACCGCUUUCGCCUGUGACGAAGCGUGAGUGACGGUAAUGGGUAAAGAAGCACCGGCUAACUACGUG